AAAGUGUGGCAAUAAUUGAAAAGAGUGGUUAGACAGCAUUUAUCAUUUAUUUUGAGUAGUUUGAUGAUGAAAGGGUUGUUUGUUGGAAAACGGUGGUUCAUAUAAUUCCUCUUGAAACGAUUGAACCCACAUAGCCACCCCUCAUCAAUGAAAUAAAUUUUUAAGCAUAACCAUAACCUGUCUCAGCUUCUGAAACUGAAACCAAAGGUGAAGAAAAAGGAGAGGAUGAUGGAGCUGUUGGUGUUAUGUUUCACAGGAAUUUUGGCAUUCCUUCACGGGGCACGCUUCUUUCUCCAUAUUCUUACCCAACACAUUGCUCUUCCUUCUAUAUCUCUAAGCUUCUUGGGCUUCGCUGCCUGGUAGAGUCCAUGGAUUCUGGGCACAACAACCGUGACCAGCACUCAUAUAUCAACAGUUGAAAAACCGUCUUAAUAAACCCAAUUUAACCGUUGUUAAAAUGUUGUGUACUAUAGUCAGUACUUUCCCUUGGACAUUGGACAUAGAACACUAACAAUUCAUGCACCAAAUUAUAAGCUUGUCAAUAAAGUGACUGUGGAGGACAACUUCAUGGGCUCAGAGGUUCAAUUCUUAUCUAUUUUGUUUU
Vigna unguiculata (cowpea) is the source of this 604-nucleotide long non-coding RNA. RefSeq lists it as uncharacterized. Lineage: Eukaryota; Viridiplantae; Streptophyta; Magnoliopsida; Fabales; Fabaceae. The record is from RefSeq and is a predicted model, not a curated record.